Molecule: transfer RNA, 75 nt
Filed under: hydrothermal vent metagenome
Description: tRNA-Pseudo-GTG
Rfam family: tRNA (bases 11-65)
About the family: Transfer RNA (tRNA) molecules are approximately 80 nucleotides in length.
Source: RNAcentral
GAUUAAUUUAGGUUCAAUGGCAGAAUUUCUGACUGUGAAUCAGGAGAUGCAGGUUCGAUCCCUGCCUUCACCCCA